AGCGAACGCUGGCGGCAGGCUUAACACAUGCAAGUCGAGCGGGCAUAGCAAUAUGUCAGUGGCAGACGGGUGAGUAACGCGUGGGAACGUACCUUUUGGUUCGGAACAACACAGGGAAACUUGUGCUAAUACCGGAUAAGCCCUUACGGGGAAAGAUUUAUCGCCGAAAGAUCGGCCCGCGUCUGAUUAGCUAGUUGGUAGGGUAAUGGCCUACCAAGGCGACGAUCAGUAGCUGGUCUGAGAGGAUGAUCAGCCACAUUGGGACUGAGACACGGCCCAAACUCCUACGGGAGGCAGCAGUGGGGAAUAUUGGACAAUGGGCGAAAGCCUGAUCCAGCCAUGCCGCGUGAGUGAUGAAGGCCCUAGGGUUGUAAAGCUCUUUUGUGCGGGAAGAUAAUGACGGUACCGCAAGAAUAAGCCCCGGCUAACUUCGUG
Molecule: ribosomal RNA, 435 nt
Filed under: uncultured bacterium
Lineage: Bacteria
Description: partial 16S ribosomal RNA
Rfam family: Bacterial small subunit ribosomal RNA
Source: RNAcentral